This 418-nucleotide ribosomal RNA is filed under the name Bradyrhizobium sp. Fw70s-10. RNAcentral's name for it is "bacterial SSU rRNA". It matches the Rfam family "Bacterial small subunit ribosomal RNA", at positions 29 to 490 of the family's 1533-position model. Lineage: Bacteria; Pseudomonadati; Pseudomonadota; Alphaproteobacteria; Hyphomicrobiales; Nitrobacteraceae. The record is from RNAcentral.
AGCGAACGCUGGCGGCAGGCUUAACACAUGCAAGUCGAGCGGGCGUAGCAAUACGUCAGCGGCAGACGGGUGAGUAACGCGUGGGAACAUACCUUUUGGUUCGGAACAACACAGGGAAACUUGUGCUAAUACCGGAUAAGCCCUUACGGGGAAAGAUUUAUCGCCGAAAGAUUGGCCCGCGUCUGAUUAGCUAGUUGGUGAGGUAAUGGCUCACCAAGGCGACGAUCAGUAGCUGGUCUGAGAGGAUGAUCAGCCACAUUGGGACUGAGACACGGCCCAAACUCCUACGGGAGGCAGCAGUGGGGAAUAUUGGACAAUGGGCGAAAGCCUGAUCCAGCCAUGCCGCGUGAGUGAUGAAGGCCCUAGGGUUGUAAAGCUCUUUUGUGCGGGAAGAUAAUGACGGUACCGCAAGAAUAAG